CCGCUCAGAAACUUAAAGGAAUUGACGGGACCCGCACAAGCAGCGGAGCAUGUGGUUUAAUUCGAAGCAACGCGAAGAACCUUACCAGAUCUUGACAUCCAAUUGACCAUCUUUUAAUCGAGAUUUUGCCUUCGGGUACAAUUGAGACAGGUGGUGCAUGGUUGUCGUCAGCUCGUGUCGUGAGAUGUUGGGUUAAGUCCCGCAACGAGCGCAACCCUUGUGUUUAGUUGCAAACAGGUCAAGCUGUGCACUCUAGACAGACUGCCGUGGACAACACGGAGGAAGGUGGGGAUGACGUCAAAUCAUCAUGCCCCUUAUGAUCUGGGCUACACACGUGCUACAAUGGCCGGUACAACGGGCAGCGAAGGAGCGAUCCGGAGCGAAUCCUAAAAAGCCGGUCCCAGUUCGGAUUGCAGGCUGAAACUCGCCUACAUGAAGUUGGAGUUGCUAGUAAUCGCGAAUCAGAAUGUCGCGGUGAAUGCGUUCCCGGGUCUU
This 495-nucleotide ribosomal RNA is filed under the name uncultured Fusibacter sp. RNAcentral describes it as "bacterial SSU rRNA". It matches the Rfam family "Bacterial small subunit ribosomal RNA", at positions 889 to 1382 of the family's 1533-position model. Lineage: Bacteria; Bacillati; Bacillota; Clostridia; Eubacteriales; Fusibacteraceae. The record is from RNAcentral.